AGAGAGAGAGAGGUGGGGGAGGCAUUUUGGUCUGUAGAGAGAGAGAGGGGGCACGAGGUUUUCUGUUACUCCCCCAAAGACUGUUAUUCUUCUCUCUCUCUUGUUUGCAGUAUUUCCAAAAAUGGAGAAGCGAUUCACCCUCUUUCAGACCGUAGCAGCUGCUGGCGUCUUCUCUGCUAUUUCGUUCUGGUAUGGGUUUAUGUUUGGAAGGGAAUCCUCAAGAAAAGAGCUCAGUGGCCUCAUCGAAGAGCUCCGUGCUGCCCCUUCUCAUACAAAUACCACUGAACCAUGAAUCCAUCUUCCAAUGCAGGUGCUGGAUUCAGUGAAAAUCCUAGCCGACUUAUAAAGUGGGGAAGGAGCAGUAGAGUUGGAACUUUCAGUGAUGCCUCUAUUUAAUUGAAGAAGAGAAGAUGGGGAUGAAUCAGAAACAAAGACCUGACCUUGUGAAGAUACAUUCUGAGAAGACCCACAUGUUAAAAGGAAAAUGAUGUAAACUUGUUGGGGCCAAAAAUCCCUAUUGCCCAAGUCUCUAAUUAGUUCCCACAAGUUUGGUGUAUGACUUGCCACCGAAUUAGCUCCUCAAGUGCAUGAACAAUAUUGAUCCAGGGGUCAUAAUGAAGGUUCUACUCCCUGAGCAGAGUUGUCACAAUUACCAUUCCACUCAUGGGGAUCGAUGGGGCGGCAGCUAAGUUCUCAUUUGAUUCAUGCACAAAUUUGGUGACCAAUUUUUUUCUUGAUUGUGACAAGAUUUGUGCAUAUUAUGUGGUGGUAUGUGGAUCAGGAGUCUUUAUAUGAAUAAUUUUGUUUCACUA
This is a non-coding RNA of Amborella trichopoda, 812 nucleotides long. NCBI's taxonomy places the organism in Eukaryota, Viridiplantae, Streptophyta, Magnoliopsida, Amborellales, Amborellaceae. The record is from RefSeq and is a predicted model, not a curated record.